UCUCUCUUUUUAAAACAUACAAAUGUUAUCAGAUUUUAUGACAUGAUGUGAACGAAACUGUUGUGUGGAGAUGGGGAUAAUCACUACAUUUUUUCUUCAUGAAGCUGAAUAUUUCCUACAGGGUUAGAGUAAAAUCUAAGAAAAUGAUCUGCAAUUAAAGAUCUAAAAUUUCCUAGGCUUUAUGUUCAAUGAGAAUAUAGAAUUUUUAAGCCUUUUACUGAUCACCCAGCAUGACCACCAUACAUCAUAAUUUCUGAAGUCCUUUAGCUUGUGAAACUGUUUCUUCAAAAACCUUUUCAAAAUGCCUGACUUUUCCUGGAAAUAUAUCCUCACUAAAAACAUAAAGCCUUUUAUCAUGGAUAUAGCUCACUAUAACAUCAACAUCAAUACAACUGGUUAAAAGGUAAAGUCUUUGGUGAUUAAACAAGGAUCUCUUCUUCCAGAUACCCAUUCCUGAUCCUUAAGGGAAUGUGACCCCUCUCUUCUUGGGUUCCCCUAAUUCUCUACCUCUCUUACAGCAUGACAUACCCAAAGGAUGUUUAUUUGUUUGUAUGUCUCUUCUCCGAUCCAAUUAACUGUAUACUCCUAGGGGGAUGGAACCGUGACUUCUCUAUCCCUAUAUCUCCCAGGGUCAUCACAAUGCCUGGUAUCUGAGUUCAAUAAAAUGAAAAAGAUAGUUGAAGAAUCCUCAUAUUAAAAUAAAAUUCACUUUUGCAUUUCUUGUCGUUGAAUUUCUGGAUGUUUCUGGAGAACAUUUAAUCGUAUAUUUAGUAUUUUCUAGAUCACCUUUUAAACUUCUCACACCUGCACUGAAAGACUCAUUCGAGGCCAGAAGUCUGGGUAAAGAGUGGUCUGUCCUUAAUUUUCAGGGUCACAGCCGUUUCUCUCCACCACUGCCCGACUCUGCUUUUCUUUGCCAGUACGAAACCUUGUAAUGUCCUCUUACAUGUUCCAUUGAUGACUGAGAAAAGCAGGAGCAGAAUUGUGCACAGCCAGUGACACAGAGAUUCAGCACAGGUACAUUAUGUGGGAGUGGAUAGAGAGACAGGAGCUUCAGGGUAUAAAGCUCUCUCUUUAUCCUGUUGAUGUCACAGCUAUCCCCUUCUGUCCAAGACUAACUGCAAAAGAAGUCACAUAAGAAAUCUUGUGAAUUGAGCUGACUUACUCCCAGAAUCACAGUAGGCUCUCAGGUUCCAGGCCAUCACCAGCAUAGACAAUGGAGUCGAGAGAGAUGAUUUCCCCAUUUUGGCUCCUUUGAGAACUUCACCAGACCAGCCAUGAUGCCGUUUUCCACCACCACCCCUCCAGGACUGACCACACUGAGACAGGUCACCAAGUAUAGGUACCAACUUGUCUACUUAUCAACUCUGUUGGCUUCCCCUAAAGUUGUUGCAGAUAUAGGCAACUCUGUCCACCCCACACUCACUUCCUGUUCUGCUGCUACUACCUCUGUUCUUCCACUCUCAGCAAUCACAGCUGAUAGGCCCUUAGCAGCCCCUGGUACACAACUAUUGUCAACAGUGUCCACUAGGAAAACUUAGUUAUACUAAUUUUCCUCUUUGGGGAUAUUAUAGGACAUCGAUGAUUAUUUACUGAUUGUUACAAUUGAGUGUUUAAUCUAUUGCAAACGAUUACA
RNAcentral lists this long non-coding RNA (1636 nucleotides) under Homo sapiens (human). RNAcentral's name for it is "HSALNT0137753". The record is from RNAcentral. Lineage: Eukaryota; Metazoa; Chordata; Mammalia; Primates; Hominidae.